Molecule: ribosomal RNA, 326 nt
Filed under: Diderma microcarpum
Lineage: Eukaryota; Evosea; Eumycetozoa; Physariida; Didymiaceae
Description: bacterial SSU rRNA
Rfam family: Eukaryotic small subunit ribosomal RNA
Source: RNAcentral
UCUGAAUCUGCGAACGGCUCCGCAAACCAGUUGUAAACCAAAGCAAGCAUACUCGUGGUCUGCCCUUCACGGGGUGGGCUGCGGGUGAUACGGAUAACCCUGGUAAUUCUGAGGCUAAUACGAGACUGUACUCCCUGGCUAACCGGGCGACUGGUAGGCUGGGGGGCGUGCGAUCUAUUUGCAAGACGAUUCCAGGAAGGGGUGCACGCUCUGACCGCGACAAAGACAGUUCUGCCGGACCUUCACGGGCGAGUCAGUUCUGAGCGGCUCUUGCGAUGUGCUUCUGACCUAUCAACUAGAUGGCAGCGUAACGGACAUGCUAUGGU